GAUGAACGCUGGCGGCGUGCUUAACACAUGCAAGUCGAGCGGAAAGACGCGUUGCUUGCUUGUCGCAUGUCAGACGCGGGCGUGAGAGAAACACGUGGAUCCCCUACCUGGGGGUCUGGUAUCGCCACGGGAAACCGGAGCUAAUACGGUAUAAUCUUUUGAUCCGCGGGGUUCAAAGGUGAGAGUCGGCGUUGCGGUCACUUGUAGAUGGUUAUGCGCUGGUUUGGCUAGUUGUUAAGGUAAAGGCUUACCAAGGCUACGAUGGGUAGCCGACUUGAGAGGGUGAUCGGCCACACUGGAACUGAGACACGGACCAGACGCCUACGGGAGGCAGCAGUCGGGAAUGGUCGGCAAUGGGCGAAAGCCUGACACAGCAAGGCCGCGUGAGGGAUGAAGGCCUUCGGAUCGUAAAACUCUGUUUUGAGGUAUGAACAGAUUUCUAAUUAGACGAGGAGUGCGUGACGGUACCGGGCAAAGAAGCAACGGCUAACUACGUG
RNAcentral lists this ribosomal RNA (497 nucleotides) under uncultured bacterium. RNAcentral's name for it is "partial 16S ribosomal RNA". It matches the Rfam family "Bacterial small subunit ribosomal RNA", at positions 28 to 507 of the family's 1533-position model. The record is from RNAcentral.